UACGGAAGGUUCCGGCGUUAUCCGGAUUUAUUGGGUUUAAAGGGAGCGCAGGCCGGAGGUCAAGCGUGACGUGAAAUGUAGCCGCUCAACGGCUGAGUUGCGUCGCGAACUGGCUUUCUUGAGUGAGUGCGACGUCAGCGGAAUUCGUGGUGUAGCGGUGAAAUGCUUAGAUAUCACGAAGAACCCCGAUUGCGAAGGCAGCUGACGAGUCCUUAACUGACGCUAAAGCUCGAAGGUGCGGGUAU
This 245-nucleotide ribosomal RNA is filed under the name uncultured Prevotella sp. RNAcentral's name for it is "partial 16S ribosomal RNA". It matches the Rfam family "Bacterial small subunit ribosomal RNA", at positions 524 to 768 of the family's 1533-position model. The record is from RNAcentral. Lineage: Bacteria; Pseudomonadati; Bacteroidota; Bacteroidia; Bacteroidales; Prevotellaceae.